This 702-nucleotide ribosomal RNA is filed under the name Triticum aestivum (bread wheat). RNAcentral's name for it is "partial small subunit ribosomal RNA". The record is from RNAcentral. Lineage: Eukaryota; Viridiplantae; Streptophyta; Magnoliopsida; Poales; Poaceae.
AUGCCAAAGUAUAUAGUGUCUGACAAAGACCCUGUUUUCACUAGUACAUUUUGGCAAACCUUGGUCAAAAGAACUGGCACCCAACUCAACAUGAGCACUGCUUAUCAUCCAGCUAUUGAUGGGCAGACUGAGCGAGUGAAUCAGCAGGUUGAGUGUUAUCUCAGAAGUUUCAUCAGUGCACAUCCUGAACAGUGGGGCAAGUGGCUUGCAAUGUGUGAAUUUUGGUAUAACACCAAUUGGCAAUCUGCAGUGGGCAAAACUCCCUUUGAGAUCUUGUAUGGUCACACUCCAUGGUACUUUGGCAUCUCUGCUAGUGACACUGUGGCUUCCUCUGAUAUCCAGCAGUGGCUAUUAGAAAGACAGACUGUGUUGGAUUCUGUCACUGAACAUUUGCAUAGAGCACAACAGAGGAUGAACCCCCAAGCUGAUAAGCACAGGACUGAACGUGUCUUUGAUAUUGGUGAACUAGUUUUUCUCAAGCUACAGCCUUAUGUCCAGUCCUCAGUCAUUCGUCGAGCCAAUCAUAAACUAUCCUUCAAAUACUUUGGACCGUACAAAAUUAUUGGCAAAAUAGGUGAAGUGGCAUACAAACUGCAAUUGCCUGCUGCUAGCAAAAUUCAUCCAGUUUUCCAUGUUUCACAACUCAAGAAGGUGCCAAUGCAAGUACUUCAGUCUCGGGUGCGUCGGGUUGGUCAGAAAGCA